Molecule: ribosomal RNA, 253 nt
Filed under: uncultured bacterium
Lineage: Bacteria
Description: partial 16S ribosomal RNA
Rfam family: Bacterial small subunit ribosomal RNA
Source: RNAcentral
UACGGAGGGUGCAAACGUUGCUCGGAAUCAUUGGGCGUAAAGCGUACGCAGGCGGCUUUGCAAGACAGGUGUGAAAUCCCCGGGCCUAACCUGGGAACUGCAUUUGUGACUGCAUGGCUAGAGUUUGUCAGAGGGGGGUGGAAUUCCACGUGUAGCAGUGAAAUGCGUAGAUAUGUGGAGGAACACCGAUGGCGAAGGCAGCCCCCUGGGAUGUGACUGACGCUCAUGUACGAAAGCGUGGGGAGCAAACAGG